AACGAACGCUGGCGGCAUGCCUAACACAUGCAAGUCGAACGAUUGCCUUCGGGUGAUAGUGGCGCACGGGUGCGUAACGCGUGGGAAUCUGCCCUUAGGUUCGGAAUAACAGCUGGAAACGGCUGCUAAUACCGGAUGAUAUCGCGAGAUCAAAGAUUUAUCGCCUGAGGAUGAGCCCGCGUUGGAUUAGGUAGUUGGUGGGGUAAAGGCCUACUAAGCCGACGAUCCAUAGCUGGUCUGAGAGGAUGAUCAGCCACACUGGGACUGAGACACGGCCCAGACUCCUACGGGAGGCAGCAGUGGGGAAUAUUGGACAAUGGGCGCAAGCCUGAUCCAGCAAUGCCGCGUGAGUGAUGAAGGCCCUAGGGUUGUAAAGCUCUUUUACCCGGGAAGAUAAUGACUGUACCGGGAGAAUAAGCCCCGGCUAACUCCGUG
RNAcentral lists this ribosomal RNA (435 nucleotides) under uncultured bacterium. RNAcentral's name for it is "partial 16S ribosomal RNA". It matches the Rfam family "Bacterial small subunit ribosomal RNA", at positions 29 to 507 of the family's 1533-position model. The record is from RNAcentral.